CCUACGGGACGCAGCAGUGGGGGAUAUUGCACAAUGGGGGAACCCUGAUGCAGCGACGCCGCGUGGGCGAUGGAGUGCUUCGGCAUGUAAAGCCCUAUCAGCAGGGAAGAAAAUGACGGUACCUGACUAAGAAGCUCCGGCUAACUACGUGCCAGCAGCCGCGGUAAUACGUAGGGGGCGAGCGUUAUCCGGAUUCAUUGGGCGUAAAGCGCGCGUAGGCGGCCGCCUAAGCGGGACCUCUAACCCCGGGGCUCAACCCCGGGCCGGGUCCCGGACUGGGCGGCUCGAGUGCGG
RNAcentral lists this ribosomal RNA (294 nucleotides) under uncultured bacterium. RNAcentral's name for it is "partial 16S ribosomal RNA". It matches the Rfam family "Bacterial small subunit ribosomal RNA", at positions 338 to 651 of the family's 1533-position model. The record is from RNAcentral.